This 697-nucleotide ribosomal RNA is filed under the name Chlamydia psittaci. RNAcentral describes it as "bacterial SSU rRNA". It matches the Rfam family "Bacterial small subunit ribosomal RNA", at positions 202 to 887 of the family's 1533-position model. The record is from RNAcentral. Lineage: Bacteria; Pseudomonadati; Chlamydiota; Chlamydiia; Chlamydiales; Chlamydiaceae.
GGGAUCUUCGGACCUUUCGGUUGAGGGAGAGUCUAUGGGAUAUCAGCUUGUUGGUGGGGUAAUGGCCUACCAAGGCUUUGACGUCUAGGCGGAUUGAGAGAUUGACCGCCAACACUGGGACUGAGACACUGCCCAGACUUCUACGGAAGGCUGCAGUCGAGAAUCUUUCGCAAUGGACGAAAGUCUGACGAAGCGACGCCGCGUGUGUGAUGAAGGCUCUAGGGUUGUAAAGCACUUUCGCUUGGGAAUAAGAGAGAUUGGCUAAUAUCCAAUCGAUUUGAGCGUACCAGGUAAAGAAGCACCGGCUAACUCCGUGCCAGCAGCUGCGGUAAUACGGAGGGUGCUAGCGUUAAUCGGAUUUAUUGGGCGUAAAGGGCGUGUAGGCGGAAAGGAAAGUUAGAUGUUAAAUCUUGGGGCUCAACCCCAGGCCAGCAUCUAAUACUAUCUUUCUAGAGGGUGGAUGGAGAAAAGGGAAUUCCACGUGUAGCGGUGAAAUGCGUAGAUAUGUGGAAGAACACCAGUGGCGAAGGCGCUUUUCUAAUUUAUACCUGACGCUAAGGCGCGAAAGCAAGGGGAGCAAACAGGAUUAGAUACCCUGGUAGUCCUUGCCGUAAACGAUGCAUACUUGAUGUGGAUAGUCUCAACCCUAUCCGUGUCGUAGCUAACGCGUUAAGUAUGCCGCCUGAGGAGUACACUC